RNAcentral lists this ribosomal RNA (491 nucleotides) under uncultured bacterium. RNAcentral's name for it is "partial 16S ribosomal RNA". The record is from RNAcentral.
CACAUAGUUAGCCGGAGCUUCCUCCUUAGGUACUGUCUUUUAUCUUCCCUAACGACAAUAGUUUACAAUCCGAAAACCUUCUUCCUAUACGCGGCGUCACUGCGUCAGAGUUUCCUCCAUUGCGCAAUAUUCCCGACUGCUGCCUCCCGUAGGAGUCUGGGCCGUAUCUCAGUCCCAAUGUGGCCGUUCAACCUCUCAGUCCGGCUACUGAUCGUCGCCUUGGUAGGCCGUUACCCCACCAACUAGCUAAUCAGACGCAAGCCCAUCUAUUAGUGGAUUGCUCCUUUCCUCACUGUAUCAUGUGAUACUGUGAGCAUAUGCGGUAUUAGCAAUGAUUUCUCACUGUUAUUCCCCUCUAAUAGGCAGGUUGCUUACGUGUUACUCACCAGUCCGCCACUAACCGCUCCCAAUGUAAACAAAGGGUUAAGUUCGUUCGACUUGCAUGUCUUAUGUGCGCCGCCAGCGUUUAUCCUGAGCCAGGAUCAAACUCU